GAUGAACGCUGGCGGCGUGCCUAAUACAUGCAAGUCGAGCGAACAAACGAGGCUCUUUCUCCUCUUCCGUUAGCGGCGGACGGGUGAGUAACACGUGGCUAACCUACCUAUAAGACUGGGAUACCUUCGGGAAACCGGAUCUAAUACCGGAUAAUAUAUUGAACCGCAUGGUUCAUUAGUGCACGCCGGUUUUGCUGUCACUUAUAGAUAGAUCCGCGCCGCAUUAGCUAGUUGGUACGGUAACGGCUUACCAAGGCAACGAUGCGUAGCCGACCUGAGAGGAUGAUCGGCCACACUGGAACUGAGACACGGUCCAGACUCCUACGGGAGGCAGCAGUAGGGAAUCUUCCGCAAUGGGCGAAAGCCUGACGGAGCAACGCCGCGUGAGUGAUGAAGGUCUUCGGAUCGUAAAACUCUGUUAUUAGGGAAGAACAAAUGUGUAAGUAACUAUGCACGUCUUGACGGUACCUAAUCAGAAAGCCACGGCUAACUACGUG
RNAcentral lists this ribosomal RNA (497 nucleotides) under uncultured bacterium. RNAcentral's name for it is "partial 16S ribosomal RNA". It matches the Rfam family "Bacterial small subunit ribosomal RNA", at positions 28 to 507 of the family's 1533-position model. The record is from RNAcentral.